GAUGAACGCUGGCGGCGUGCCUAAUACAUGCAAGUCGAGCGAACAGACGAGGAGCUUGCUCCUCUGACGUCAGCGGCGGACGGGUGAGUAACACGUGGAUAACCUACCUAUAAGACUGGGAUAACUUCGGGAAACCGGAGCUAAUACCGGAUAAUAUAUUGAACCGCAUGGUUCAAUAGUGAAAGACGGUUUUGCUGUCACUUAUAGAUGGAUCCGCGCCGCAUUAGCUAGUUGGUAAGGUAACGGCUUACCAAGGCAACGAUGCGUAGCCGACCUGAGAGGGUGAUCAGCCACACUGGAACUGAGACACGGUCCAGACUCCUACGGGAGGCAGCAGUAGGGAAUCUUCCGCAAUGGGCGAAAGCUUGACGGAGCAACGCCGCGUGAGUGAUGAAGGUCUUCGGAUCGUAAAACUCUGUUAUUAGGGAAGAAAAAAUGUGUAAGUAACUAUGCACGUCUUGACGGUACCUAAUCAGAAAGCCACGGCUAACUACGUG
This 497-nucleotide ribosomal RNA is filed under the name uncultured bacterium. Its description in RNAcentral is "partial 16S ribosomal RNA". It matches the Rfam family "Bacterial small subunit ribosomal RNA", at positions 28 to 507 of the family's 1533-position model. The record is from RNAcentral.